RNAcentral lists this ribosomal RNA (305 nucleotides) under uncultured bacterium. RNAcentral's name for it is "bacterial SSU rRNA". It matches the Rfam family "Bacterial small subunit ribosomal RNA", at positions 334 to 656 of the family's 1533-position model. The record is from RNAcentral.
UUGUCCUACGGGACGCAGCAGUGGGGAAUAUUGCACAAUGGGGGAAACCCUGAUGCAGCGACGCCGCGUGAGUGAAGAAGUAAUUCGUUAUGUAAAGCUCUAUCAGCAGGGAAGAAAAUGACGGUACCUGAGUAAGAAGCCCCGGCUAACUACGUGCCAGCAGCCGCGGUAAUACGUAGGGGGCAAGCGUUAUCCGGAUUUACUGGGUGUAAAGGGAGCGUAGACGGAAAGGCAAGUCAGAAGUGAAAGCCCAAGGCUCAACCAUGGGACUGCUUUUGAAACUGUCAAACUAGAGUACGGGAGAG